This 315-nucleotide long non-coding RNA is filed under the name Elaeis guineensis (African oil palm). RNAcentral describes it as "long non-coding RNA (EGUI_LNC064548)". The record is from RNAcentral. Lineage: Eukaryota; Viridiplantae; Streptophyta; Magnoliopsida; Arecales; Arecaceae.
UCACCUAGAUAAUUUUACCUAUGGUGAGUUAAUGGUGUAUCCUCCUAUCGAUGUCACUUACUUGGCCAAUUGGAUGAUUGAGUUCAUUAAUUGCUAAGGAGUUUUGGUUUAACCCAUGCUAAUUAGAUCAGUCAUGUGAUGAUAAAUUAGAUGAGACCUUUUCUAAACCUCCCUAAUUAAUAUUAAAUCUUAUGGUCUUCCACCAUUGUAGAAGUACGGAUGUGGUACUAGUGUUGAUUAUUCUCAGUUGGUUACAGUAGUUCAGUUGCAUUAGAAAUGCAACCACUCUACUAGCAAAGAGUUGCUCUAGGGUGA